RNAcentral lists this ribosomal RNA (253 nucleotides) under uncultured bacterium. RNAcentral describes it as "partial 16S ribosomal RNA". It matches the Rfam family "Bacterial small subunit ribosomal RNA", at positions 524 to 776 of the family's 1533-position model. The record is from RNAcentral.
UACGGAGGGUGCAAGCGUUAUCCGGAUUCACUGGGUGUAAAGGGUGCGUAGGCGGGAGAGUAAGUCCGCGGUGAAAUCUCACAGCUCAACUGUGAAACUGCCGUUGAUACUGCUUUUCUUGAGUUCGGGAGAGGUUGAUGGAAUUCCAGGUGUAGCGGUGAAAUGCGUAGAUAUCUGGAAGAACACCAGUGGCGAAGGCGGUCAACUGGCCCGUAACUGACGCUGAGGCACGAAAGCGUGGGUAGCGAACAGG